RNAcentral lists this ribosomal RNA (727 nucleotides) under Bacillus pumilus. RNAcentral's name for it is "bacterial SSU rRNA". It matches the Rfam family "Bacterial small subunit ribosomal RNA", at positions 66 to 782 of the family's 1533-position model. The record is from RNAcentral. Lineage: Bacteria; Bacillati; Bacillota; Bacilli; Caryophanales; Bacillaceae.
GGACAGAAGGGAGCUUGCUCCCGGAUGUUAGCGGCGGACGGGUGAGUAACACGUGGGUAACCUGCCUGUAAGACUGGGAUAACUCCGGGAAACCGGAGCUAAUACCGGAUAGUUCCUUGAACCGCAUGGUUCAAGGAUGAAAGACGGUUUCGGCUGUCACUUACAGAUGGACCCGCGGCGCAUUAUCUAGUUGGUGGGGUAAUGGCUCACCAAGGCGACGAUGCGUACCCAACCUGAGAGGGUGAUCGGCCACACUGGGACUGAGACACGGCCCAAACUCCUACGGGAGGCAGCAAUAGGGAAUCUUCCGCAAUGGACGAAAGUCUGACGGACCAACGCCGCGUGAGUGAUGAAGGUUUUCGGAUCGUAAAGCUCUGUUGUUAGGGAAGAACAAGUGCAAAGUAACUGCUCGCACCUUGACGGUACCUAACCAGAAAGCCACGGCUAACUACGUGCCAGCAGCCGCGGUAAUACGUAGGUGGCAAGCGUUGUCCGGAAUUAUUGGGCGUAAAGGGCUCGCAGGCGGUUUCUUAAGUCUGAUGUGAAAGCCCCCGGCUCAACCGGGGAGGGUCAUUGGAAACUGGGAAACUUGAGUGCAGAAAGGAGAGUGGAAUUCCACGUGUAGCGGUGAAAUGCGUAAGAUGUGGAGGAACACCAUUGGCAAAGCCACUCUCUGGUCUGUAACUGACGCUGAGGAGCGAAAACGUGGGGAGCGAACAGGAUUAAU